This 496-nucleotide ribosomal RNA is filed under the name uncultured bacterium. Its description in RNAcentral is "partial 16S ribosomal RNA". It matches the Rfam family "Bacterial small subunit ribosomal RNA", at positions 29 to 507 of the family's 1533-position model. The record is from RNAcentral.
ACGCACGCUGGCGGCGUGCCUAAUACAUGCAAGUUGAGCGCUGAAGGUUGGUACUUGUACCGACUGGAUGAGCAGCGAACGGGUGAGUAACGCGUGGGGAAUCUGCCUUUGAGCGGGGGACAACAUUUGGAAACGAAUGCUAAUACCGCAUAAAAACUUUAAACACAAGUUUUAAGUUUGAAAGAUGCAAUUGCAUCACUCAAAGAUGAUCCCGCGUUGUAUUAGCUAGUUGGUGAGGUAAAGGCUCACCAAGGCGAUGAUACAUAGCCGACCUGAGAGGGUGAUCGGCCACAUUGGGACUGAGACACGGCCCAAACUCCUACGGGAGGCAGCAGUAGGGAAUCUUCGGCAAUGGACGAAAGUCUGACCGAGCAACGCCGCGUGAGUGAAGAAGGUUUUCGGAUCGUAAAACUCGGUUGGUAGAGAAGAACGUUGGUGAGAGUGGAAAGCUCAUCAAGUGACGGUAACUACCCAGAAAGGGACGGCUAACUACGUG